RNAcentral lists this ribosomal RNA (287 nucleotides) under uncultured Pseudomonas sp. Its description in RNAcentral is "partial 16S ribosomal RNA". It matches the Rfam family "Bacterial small subunit ribosomal RNA", at positions 1095 to 1382 of the family's 1533-position model. The record is from RNAcentral. Lineage: Bacteria; Pseudomonadati; Pseudomonadota; Gammaproteobacteria; Pseudomonadales; Pseudomonadaceae.
AGCGCAACCCUUGUCCUUAGUUACCAGCACGUUAUGGUGGGCACUCUAAGGAGACUGCCGGUGACAAACCGGAGGAAGUGGGGAUGACGUCAAGCCAUCAUGGCCCUUACGGCCUGGGCUACACACGUGCUACAAUGGUCGGUACAAAGGGUUGCCAAGCCGCGAGGUGGAGCUAAUCCCAUAAAACCGAUCGUAGUCCGGAUCGCAGUCUGCAACUCGACUGCGUGAAGUCGGAAUCGCUAGUAAUCGUGAAUCAGAAUGUCACGGUGAAUACGUUCCCGGGCCUU